RNAcentral lists this ribosomal RNA (253 nucleotides) under uncultured bacterium. Its description in RNAcentral is "partial 16S ribosomal RNA". It matches the Rfam family "Bacterial small subunit ribosomal RNA", at positions 524 to 776 of the family's 1533-position model. The record is from RNAcentral.
UACGUAGGGCGCAAGCGUUGUCCGGAAUUAUUGGGCGUAAAGAGCGCGCAGGCGGUCGUCCAAGUCGCGUGUGAAAGCCCCUGGCUCAACUGGGGAGGGUCACGCGAUACUGGUCGACUCGAAGGCAGGAGAGGGUAGUGGAAUUCCCGGUGUAGUGGUGAAAUGCGUAGAUAUCGGGAGGAACACCAGUGGCGAAGGCGACUACCUGGCCUGUUCUUGACGCUGAGGCGCGAAAGCUAGGGGAGCAAACGGG